AGUCUUCUGGGGUGUUUGUAAGUGACUAUGUCCCUGAGCCGAUAAGUUUUACCUAAGGAAAUUGACUAUUAACUAUUGUGCAAGCCCGGCUUGUAUCGGGAAGCCUACGGUUAGUAUAAAAUUUCCGCCCUGAACACACGGUGUUCAGGACUACGGUUAACUGCGGCAUUCUGGAAGCCUU
Molecule: non-coding RNA, 181 nt
Filed under: Colwellia sp.
Lineage: Bacteria; Pseudomonadati; Pseudomonadota; Gammaproteobacteria; Alteromonadales; Colwelliaceae
Description: 6S RNA
Rfam family: 6S / SsrS RNA
About the family: E. coli 6S RNA was the first non coding RNA to be sequenced, but its function was unknown until recently. It consists of 184 nucleotides that fold into an extended hairpin structure with a large single-stranded internal bulge.
Source: RNAcentral